RNAcentral lists this long non-coding RNA (1644 nucleotides) under Nicotiana tabacum (common tobacco). RNAcentral's name for it is "long non-coding RNA (NTAB_LNC004038)". The record is from RNAcentral. Lineage: Eukaryota; Viridiplantae; Streptophyta; Magnoliopsida; Solanales; Solanaceae.
AUUCUUCUUUUUGGCGAAGGCCUCUGGCCUUAAAGGGUGUUAUUUCGAGCAUAUCGAAAUAGUCACCCGUCGUUGUUCGAUAGAGGUUGAACUCUUCUUUUUUGCGAAGGCCCUUGGCCUUAUAGGGUGUUAUUUCGAACUUAUCAAAAUAGUAACCCAUCUUCAUUCGAUCGAGGUUGAACUCUUCUUUUUGGCGAAGGCCUCUGGCUUUCAAGGGUGUUAUUUCGAACAUAUCGAAAUAGUAACCCGUCGUCGUUCGAUCGAGGUCGAACUCUUCUUUUUGGCGAAGGCCCCUGGCCUUAAAGGGUGUUAUUUCGAACUUAUCAAAAUAGUAACCCGUCGUCGUUCGAUCGAGGUCGAACUCUUCUUUUUGGCGAAGGCCUCUGGCAUUAAAGGGUGUUAUUUCGAACAUAUCGAAAUAGUCACCCGUCGUCGUUCGAUAGAGGUUGAACUUUUCUUUUUUGCGAAGGCCCUUGGCCUUAAAGGGUGUUAUUUCGAACAUAUCGAAAUAGUAAUUCAUCGUCGUUCGAUCGAGGUCGAACUCUUCUUUUUGGCGAAGGCCCUUGGCCUUAAAAUGUGUUAUUUCAAACUUAUCGAAAUAGUAACCCGUCGUCGUUCGAUCGAGGUCGAACUCUUCUUUUUGGCAAAGGCCCCUAGCCUUUAAGGGUGUUAUUUCGAACUUAUCAAAAUAGUAACCCAUCAUCGUUCGAUCGAGGUCGAACUCUUCUUUUUGGUGAAGGCCCCUGGCCUUCAAGGGUGUUAUUUCGAACUUAUCGAAAUAGUAACCUGUCGCCGUUUGAUCGAGGUCGAACUCUUCUUUUUGGCGAAGGCCCCUGGCUUUCAAGGGUGUUAUUUCGAACAUAUCGAAAUAGUAACCCGUCGUCGUUCGAUCGAGGUCGAACUCUUCUUUUUGGCGAAGGCCCCUGGCCUUAAAGGGUGUUAUUUCGAAUUUAUCGAAAUAGUAACCCGUCGUCGUAUGAUCGAGGUCAAACUCUUUUUUUGGCGAAGGCCUCUGGCCUUAAAGGGUGUUAUUUCGAACUAAUCGACAUUGUAACUCGUCGUCGUUCGAUCGAGGUCGAACUCUUCUUUUUGGCGAAGGCCCCUAGCCUUUAAGGGUGUUAUUUCGAACUUAUCAAAAUAGUAACCCAUCAUCGUUCGAUCGAGGUCGAACUCUUCUUUUUGGUGAAGGCCCCUGGCCUUCAAGGGUGUUAUUUUGAACUUAUCGAAAUAGUAACACGUCGUCGUUCGAUCGAGGUCGAACUCUUCUUUUUGGCGAAGGCCCCUGGCCUUAAAGGGUGUUAUUUCGAACUUAUCGAAAUAGUAACCCGUCGUCGUAUGAUCGAGGUCGAACUCCUCUUUUUGGCGAAGGCCUCUGGCCUUAAAGGGUGUUAUUUCGAACUUAUCAAAAUAUUCACCCGUCGUCGUUCGAUAGAGGAUAAACUCUUCUUUUUGGUGAAGUCCCCUAGCCUUUAAGGGUGUUAUUUCGAACUUAUCGAAAUAGUAACCCAUUGUCGUUUGAUCGAGGUCGAACUCUUCUUUUUGGCGAAGGCCCCUGGCCUUAAAGGGUUUUAUUUCGAACUUAUCAAAAUAGUAACCCAUCGUCGUUCGAUCGAGGUCGAACUUUUCUUUUUGGCGAAGGCCCCU